This 73-nucleotide transfer RNA is filed under the name Ailuropoda melanoleuca (giant panda). It matches the Rfam family "tRNA". Rfam says of the family: Transfer RNA (tRNA) molecules are approximately 80 nucleotides in length. Their secondary structure includes four short double-helical elements and three loops (D, anti-codon, and T loops). Lineage: Eukaryota; Metazoa; Chordata; Mammalia; Carnivora; Ursidae. The record is from Rfam by way of RNAcentral.
GCCUGGCUGGCUCAGUUAGUAGAGCAUGCGACUCUUGAUCUCAAAGUUGUGAGUUCGAGCCCCACAUUAGGCG